This is a small nucleolar RNA of Pongo abelii (Sumatran orangutan), 93 nucleotides long. NCBI's taxonomy places the organism in Eukaryota, Metazoa, Chordata, Mammalia, Primates, Hominidae. The record is from Ensembl.
UUGACUUAUAGACAGGUCAAAAAAAUCAAUCCCCUUUUGCAAUCCAGAACUCAUUGUUCAGUGUAAGUUUUGCUAGAAAUAAGAAGGAGUAUU